GAUGAACGCUGGCGGUAUGCUUAACACAUGCAAGUCGAACGGACUCUUCGGAGUUAGUGGCGGACGGGUGUGUAACGCGUGAGAAUCUGGCCUUGGGUUCGGGACAACUACUGGAAACGGAGGCUAAUACCGGAUGUGCCGAGAGGUAAAAGAGAAAUUGCCUGCAGAUGAGUCCGCGUCUGAUUAGCUAGUUGGUGAGGUAAAGGCUCACCAAGGCAGCGAUAAGUAGCUGAUCUGAGAGGAUGACCGGCCACGCUGGGACUGAGACACGGCCCAGAGUACUACGGGAGGAAGCAGUGAGGAAUGAUCCGCAAUGGGCGAGUGCCUGACGAAGCAAUACCGCGUGAGAGAAGAAGGUUCUUGGGUUGUAAACCUCUUUUCGUAGGGAAGAACAAAAUGACGGUACCUAAGGAAUCAGCAACGGCUAACUCCGUG
RNAcentral lists this ribosomal RNA (435 nucleotides) under uncultured bacterium. RNAcentral describes it as "partial 16S ribosomal RNA". It matches the Rfam family "Bacterial small subunit ribosomal RNA", at positions 28 to 507 of the family's 1533-position model. The record is from RNAcentral.